CAAAAACAUGGCCUCUUGCAAACCCCCAAAAAUAAGAGGUCCAACCUGCCCAGUGACUUCAAAAAGUUAAACGGCCGCGGUAUUUUAACCGUGCUAAGGUAGCGUAAUCACUUGUCUUUUAAAUGAAGACCCGUAUGAAAGGUACCACGAAGACCUUACUGUCUCCUUCCUCAAGUCAGUGAAAUUGAUCUAUUCGUGCAGAAGCGAAUAUCACAACAUAAGACGAGAAGACCCUGUGGAGCUUAAGAUGUUUAUUUACUUGCGCUUAGUAAAAUUAUCAACUAAUUUUAAAGCCUAGCAACCCUAACAUACAACAUCUUCGGUUGGGGCGACCAUGGAGGACAAAAAAGCCUCCAAGAAGAAACUCGGGGAAUAGUCAAACAAUCCCUAAGAACCAAGAACCACAAUUCCAAGUAACAGAAAAUUCUGACUAACAAUGAUCCGAACUUUUCGAUCAACGAACCAAGUUACCCCAGGGAUAACAGCGCAAUCCUUUCCAAGAGCCCAUAUCGCCGAAAGGGUUUACGACCUCGAUGUUGGAUCAGGACAUCCUAAUGGCGAAAAUUCUAUUAAGGGUUCGUUUGUUCAACGAUUAAAGUCCUACGUGA
Molecule: ribosomal RNA, 608 nt
Filed under: Osteoglossum bicirrhosum (silver arawana)
Lineage: Eukaryota; Metazoa; Chordata; Actinopteri; Osteoglossiformes; Osteoglossidae
Description: partial 16S ribosomal RNA
Rfam family: Bacterial large subunit ribosomal RNA
Source: RNAcentral